This 209-nucleotide long non-coding RNA is filed under the name Homo sapiens (human). Its description in RNAcentral is "non-protein coding lnc-EIF6-1:16". Lineage: Eukaryota; Metazoa; Chordata; Mammalia; Primates; Hominidae. The record is from RNAcentral.
AUGCUGGCAGGGAGGUGGCAGAGAGCUCACUGGGACUGAGGGGCUGGGCACCCAACCCUUUUCCACCUGUGCUUAUCGCCUGGAUCUAUCAUUACUGCAAAAACCUGCUCUGUUGUGCUGGCUGGCAGGCCCUGUGGCUGCUGGCUGAGGGUUCUGCUGUCCUGUGCCACCCCAUUAAAGUGCAGUUCCCUCCGGGCCAUUCUGAAUGU